This 76-nucleotide transfer RNA is filed under the name Pseudomonadota bacterium. RNAcentral's name for it is "Proteobacteria bacterium (gut metagenome) tRNA-Arg". It matches the Rfam family "tRNA". From Rfam's summary of the family: Transfer RNA (tRNA) molecules are approximately 80 nucleotides in length. Their secondary structure includes four short double-helical elements and three loops (D, anti-codon, and T loops). Further hydrogen bonds mediate the characteristic L-shaped molecular structure. tRNAs have two regions of fundamental functional importance: the anti-codon, which is responsible for specific mRNA codon recognition, and the 3' end, to which the tRNAs corresponding amino acid is attached (by aminoacyl-tRNA synthetases). tRNAs cope with the degeneracy of the genetic code in two manners: having more than one tRNA (with a specific anti-codon) for a particular amino acid; and 'wobble' base-pairing, i.e. permitting non-standard base-pairing at the 3rd anti-codon position. The record is from RNAcentral. Lineage: Bacteria; Pseudomonadati; Pseudomonadota.
GGCCCUGUAGCUCAGACGGAUAGAGCUGGAGAUUCCUAAUCUCUGUAAGUCGCAGGUUCGACUCCUGCCAGGGUCA